GACGGAGGCUGGGUGCUCGCUUCCGCAAGGGAGUGCGGUGCUCGUGUCUGCGUCAUCCUUCUAGGCGACGUGUGUGCUCGGUUAACUCCGGGUGUGCACGGCUGUCUAGGAAUUUUACUUUGAAGAAAUUAGAGUGUUCAAAGCAGGCAUACCGCUUUGCAUACAUUAGCAUGGAAUAAUACUAUAGGACUUUGGUUCUAUUGUGUUGGUCUAGAACUGAAGUA
This 224-nucleotide ribosomal RNA is filed under the name uncultured fungus. RNAcentral describes it as "partial small subunit ribosomal RNA". The stretch from base 103 to 224 matches the Rfam family "Eukaryotic small subunit ribosomal RNA", at positions 740 to 864 of the family's 1831-position model. The record is from RNAcentral. Lineage: Eukaryota; Fungi.